AUUUUUCACAAUGGGGGCAACCCUGAUGGAGCGACGCCGCGUGGGGGAUGAAGGGCUUCGGCCUGUAAACCCCUGUCAUUUGCGAACAAACCUGUCAAUUGAACAGAUUGGCAAUUGAUUGUAGCGAAAGAGGAAGGGACGGCUAACUCUGUGCCAGCCGCCGCGGUAAUACAGAGGUCCCAAGCGUUGUUCGGAUUCACUGGGCGUAAAGGGUGCGUAGGUGGCCCGGAAAGUUUGAUGUGAAAGCUCGGAGCUCAACUCCGAAAUGGCAUUGAAUACUAUCGGGCUUGAGGGUCGGAGGGGAGACUGGAAUUCUCGGUGUAGCAGUGAAAUGCGUAGAUAUCGAGAGGAACACCAGUGGCGAAGGCGAGUCUCUGGACGACACCUGACACUGAGGCACGAAAGCUAGGGGAGCAAACAGG
Molecule: ribosomal RNA, 422 nt
Filed under: uncultured bacterium
Lineage: Bacteria
Description: bacterial SSU rRNA
Rfam family: Bacterial small subunit ribosomal RNA
Source: RNAcentral